Molecule: long non-coding RNA, 509 nt
Organism: Spinacia oleracea (spinach)
Lineage: Eukaryota; Viridiplantae; Streptophyta; Magnoliopsida; Caryophyllales; Amaranthaceae
Exons: 3
Source: RefSeq, a predicted model, not a curated record
UUGUCCAUCACUAGCUUCUGUCCAAAAUUAUGAGGGAAAAAUCUAUACAAUCAGAUAUUUUUCGGUCCAACCUAAUAAGGAACAAUACCGUAUUGUUGGCGACAACAAGAUAAUGAUACAAUUUUUUCAAAAUACUGUUGUUAGGGCCGUUGCCAAUGCAUCGAUUUGAUUGUGUACAAUUACAGUACACUUGAAUAAGUUUGUUAAAAACUACUCACUUCCUGAUGUCGUUGGUAUGGUUGUGAAUGAAGUUGGAGAUUCUAUCGAAAUAGAAGACCAAUGGGGACAACAUUGACAUUGAGAUUGAGAGGUCUAGCUGAAACUGAUGGGAAAUCGAAGGUGAGAUUUGAUCUGGUUGUGAUUGGGGAAGAUGAUUGAAGAGAUAGAGACGACUACAUUUUGAUUGUGGAGAAAUAGAUCGGAAGUUGCUGAAGUCUUUAUCACACUUAAAAAAAUAACAAGUACUUUAGUUUAGUCUAGACUAGACUUUUGCUCAAUUAUUUAGUUGU